GUGGGGAAUAUUGGACAAUGGGCGAAAGCCUGAUCCAGCAAUGCCGCGUGAGUGAUGAAGGCCUUAGGGUUGUAAAGCUCUUUUACCAGGGAUGAUAAUGACAGUACCUGGAGAAUAAGCUCCGGCUAACUCCGUGCCAGCAGCCGCGGUAAUACGGAGGGAGCUAGCGUUGUUCGGAAUUACUGGGCGUAAAGCGCACGUAGGCGGUUACUCAAGUCAGAGGUGAAAGCCCGGGGCUCAACCCCGGAACUGCCUUUGAAACUAGGUAACUAGAAUCUUGGAGAGGUCAGUGGAAUUCCGAGUGUAGAGGUGAAAUUCGUAGAUAUUCGGAAGAACACCAGUGGCGAAGGCGACUGACUGGACAAGCAUUGACGCUGAGGUGCGAAAGCGUGGGGAGCAAACAGGAUUAGAUACCCCGGUAGUCC
This 425-nucleotide ribosomal RNA is filed under the name uncultured bacterium. RNAcentral's name for it is "partial 16S ribosomal RNA". It matches the Rfam family "Bacterial small subunit ribosomal RNA", at positions 354 to 796 of the family's 1533-position model. The record is from RNAcentral.